UUUCAACAAUGGAUCUCUUGGUUCCGGCAUCGAUGAAGAACGCAGCGAAAUGCGAUAAGUAAUGUGAAUUGCAGAAUUCCGUGAAUCAUCGAAUCUUUGAACGCACAUUGCGCCCUCCGGUAUUCCGGAGGGCAUGCCUGUCCGAGCGUCAUCAACCCACCUCAAGCCUCGCUUGGUGUUGGGCGU
This 186-nucleotide ribosomal RNA is filed under the name Mycosphaerella sp. NSW15. RNAcentral describes it as "5.8S ribosomal RNA". The stretch from base 1 to 151 matches the Rfam family "5.8S ribosomal RNA". From Rfam's summary of the family: 5.8S ribosomal RNA (5.8S rRNA) is a component of the large subunit of the eukaryotic ribosome. It is transcribed by RNA polymerase I as part of the 45S precursor that also contains 18S and 28S rRNA. Functionally, it is thought that 5.8S rRNA may be involved in ribosome translocation. The record is from RNAcentral. Lineage: Eukaryota; Fungi; Ascomycota; Dothideomycetes; Mycosphaerellales; Mycosphaerellaceae. RNAcentral also lists the same sequence under 1 other name.